Molecule: ribosomal RNA, 834 nt
Filed under: Lactiplantibacillus plantarum
Lineage: Bacteria; Bacillati; Bacillota; Bacilli; Lactobacillales; Lactobacillaceae
Description: bacterial SSU rRNA
Rfam family: Bacterial small subunit ribosomal RNA
Source: RNAcentral
UAUACUGCAGUCGUACCAGGUAGGUAUAGAUUGGUGCUUGCACUCGUGAUUUACAUUGUGAGUGAGUGGCGAACUGGUGAGUAACACGUGGGAAAUCCUGCCCAGAAGCGGGGGAUAACACUCUGGAAACAGAUGCUAAUACCGCAUAACAACUUGGACCGCAGGGUCCGAGUUUGAAAGAUGGCUUCGGCUAUCACUUUUGGAUGGUCCCGCGGCGUAUUAGCUAGAUGGUGGGGUAACGGCUCACCAUGGCAAUGAUACGUAGCCGACCUGAGAGGGUAAUCGGCCACAUUGGGACUGAGACACGGCCCAAACUCCUACGGGAGGCAGCAGUAGGGAAUCUUCCACAAUGGACGAAAGUCUGAUGGAGCAACGCCGCGUGAGUGAAGAAGGGUUUCGGCUCGUAAAACUCUGUUGUUAAAGAAGAACAUAUCUGAGAGUAACUGUUCAAGGAUUGACCGUAUUUAACCAGAAAGCCCCGGCUAACUACGUGCCAGCAGCCGCGGUAAUACGUAAGUGGCAAGCGUUGUCCCGAUUUAUUGGGCCUUAAGGCAACGCCAGGGGGUUUUUUAAGUCCGGAUGGGAAACCUUCGCUUCACCCGAAAAAUGGCAUCGGAACCUGGGAAACUUGAAUGCAAAAAAGGACAUGGAACCUCCUUGUUGUAGCGGUGAAAUGCGUAGAUAUAUGGAAAGAACCCAGUGGCGAAGGCGGCUGUCUGGUCUGUAACUGACGCUGAGGUCGAAAGUAUGGGUAGCAAACAGAUAAAAUCCCCUGGUAUCCCCUGCCCGUAAACGGAUGAUUGCAAGUGCUGAGGGGUUUCCGCCCUCCAGUGC